UCGAAUACCAUGGCUUCAUCCGGGCUCUCACGAAAUGCCUAGCUCUAAGUUCAUUGAACUCAAACAACAUGACCAUUCUCUGUCACCACUCUCUAUGUAAAAGGAUUUCCUGUCGAUAUACUCGAUACAGUGCCAACAGGCAGCAGGGCAGAGCCGCAGCGGGGAGUUUGGGGGCAUGCUCGACAAGGUAAGGAAAUCAUACCAUGUGAUGCCGAUGGAACAUAGCCAUCAAGGGAAGCUGGCAGAUCUGGAACAGGCAAGGCCUCUUGCAAUGAAGUUACGUCCAUGAACUGCAAGAGAUGGAGCGCGUCAGGAACUUGAUAGCAAGUGUAGUCCGGGAUAUUGGCGGCAAGUCGGCCAUGCUGGCCAUCACAAGAUAUAGACUGCAGGAAUAAGAUCGUAUUUUAGGUGAGGUUAUGAUUUGUUCUAAAUCACCAAAUAAACAGGUAUAAGGAUCCGAAAUCUGCAUCAGUAGGC
Molecule: long non-coding RNA, 477 nt
Organism: Panicum hallii
Lineage: Eukaryota; Viridiplantae; Streptophyta; Magnoliopsida; Poales; Poaceae
Exons: 3
Source: RefSeq, a predicted model, not a curated record